Antechinus flavipes (yellow-footed antechinus) is the source of this 4080-nucleotide long non-coding RNA. RefSeq lists it as uncharacterized. The transcript is spliced from 2 exons. NCBI's taxonomy places the organism in Eukaryota, Metazoa, Chordata, Mammalia, Dasyuromorphia, Dasyuridae. The record is from RefSeq and is a predicted model, not a curated record.
AGUUCCCUGGCGAUUAAUGCUUUUCAGUGCUAUGCCCGUUUCACAUAUGGAUACAAAUGAAUGACUCCAUUCUUGCAGAGGAAUUAUGUCUCCUCUGUGGUACCUUGUCUAAAUCAAGCAUUUCCCAGGCUAUUAGACACUCGAUUUUUUGAUUGGCUGACAUGGAGCGGGAUAGGAAAAGAAAAGGAUGAUGAUGGAGUAGCCGCCACAUUUCCAUUCCUCCCCCUCCCCAGCCAGAGAGGGGGUAGGAAGGAGGAGGGAGAUUUCCGCUCUUCCUGCUCAUUGUCUCACCUCCCUCUCUCCCUCCCUCCCUCCCUCCCUUGCUGCAGCAUCAGUGCCUCCAGCUCCCGGGCUUCCCAGAAGCCUGAGCAUCCACCAUGCUGGAUAUUUUCAUUCUGAUGUUCUUCGCUAUUAUAGGCCUGGUCGUCCUGUCCUAUAUCAUCUAUCUGCUCUAGCAUCCUAGGAGCCCUCUUGGUGGGGAGAAGGGCUUUGUGAAGGAGAAGGAUGGAACCCAGAGGCCGAGCAACCUGCCUGCCCACUUCCAAGUGGACUUGUGCUUCUGAUCAUCAGAUCAUCACUUCGGCUCCUGGUCCCCCAGUUCAACAAGAGACUUCUUAUCUUCCCCAGCAGCCACAGAUUUCUGCCCUAGCAGGAUCUUUCUCUGCGCCUUCUGGAGACUGUUAACCCUUGGCAAGCAAAUGGCAUUUUGAAAUGGAAGCCAGAGGCAGGCUGAGAAGCAGCUGCAUCUCAGCAUGUCCAGCACAAUUCAUGGAUGGUGCUGGCAGGCUCUGCAGGCCACAGUGAGUUCAAGUGGCAGAAGAAAAGCCGUGAGAAGAGAGUUGGAAUGUGAAAUCAUCCAAAUCCCCAUGAAGGGCUGCUAAAAGUUAAGAUACGAGACAGCCUUUUGCUGGUUCUGUGUGCAAGUGAAUCUUACUAUACAGUUUCUCAUGUGUCCGUUCCUCCUUAAGAUUUCCUACAUGCAAGGCUUUGCCAUAUAAAUUCAAGGACAAUUGGUAUGUCUCCAUAUAUGGACUAAAUGUUAUUGCAAGGGAAUAGGAUCCAUUUUUCACUCCAUCUUUGAAACUUGGCGAACUCAUUUUUAGAAUUAGUUUGCUCUCUUUAGGCCACAGAAAUUUAUCCUUUCAGCUAUUAUUGCUGCUUUAUCAUCCCUUCCUCCAGCCCCAGCUUCUCAUUAUAUGUGGGAAAAUUGUAGUAUGUAAAUCCUCAUUCUUUGUGCCAGAUGAAUUGAAGAAUUGGAAUUGUAAAUCACAAAUAAGAUGGCCACCAUCUGCACCUUCAGUCUAGAGAAGGGGGUUUGUUGUGAAAUCUCUGUAUAUUUGUACCCCAAAUUUGAAUAUUGUAGAGAUAGUUGCACCCUUCAACAAAAAGGCAUUUUCUUUGUCUUUGUAUGAUCAACUCCCAUCAGUUCCAUCCAAACAGGGUUGAAGAAAGCUUUCACCAUCUCUAGGGGGCAGGUUAGCCUCAGAAUUUAAAAGAUGAGGCUGGGGUGACUGAAAAGGCCACACAGCAUUGGUUGGUUUAGCUUUGGGAAUAUCUUUUCCAUGUCCUAAAAUCUAUUUGAAAAAGAAAUCAACAAAAAAUUAACAACUUUUAUUAUGGACUCAACACAAAUUAAAACACUUGUGCUGUGUUUUCAUUUUUUUUUUUUUUUUUUUUUUAGUUAUUUUGAAAAGGAAAAGCUUAUGUUCUAUAAGCUGAUGUAGGAAGGAAAAUCAGGUCAGGUCAGGAUUCUAUACAUAGAGACAAUUUGUUCACUAAUUAGCUAUAUGACCUUGAGCAUGUCAAAUCUCUUCUCCAGCCCUCAGUGUUCUCAUUUGUCAAAGGAAGGAAGUGAAAUAAGUUGUCCCCCAAAUGCCUUCCAGUUUUAAAAUUCUAUGACUUGGACUUCACACACAAAAUAGGUGAUAUGUAUAAAGACCAGGACUUUGGAGCAAACUCUUCAGAAUUAAGCAAUAAUCUCUUCUUUUCCCAGAAAUCAAGUUUUGUAAUGAAAACCCUGAUGCAAUAUAAACUAUUGUAGCAUAACUAGUCAAAUAAAGAAAAAAAUAAUGGUGUUUUAUUUUUACCACUUGUGAGUUUAAAGCUUUAUUGUAUGAUGAUAUUUGGCAGUGACAACUUGAAAGAUACAUUAAGCCAAGAGGAGAAUUUUGGGAAAAUUUUUUCUUUAAAUUCUGGAACAUUUGAGGAUAUCAGCAUAAUUUUUAGUGCAUUGUUUCUUAUUUGUUAUUCUUCUAUAAAAAAGAUCUAUGGCAUAUGUCUCUAUGGCACAUGUAUGAAUUCUAUCCUGAAAUCUUCCAUUUUAGGCCAAAGUGUCAAGUCUAUGCUGUUAUAGAUAACUCAGACAAAAUUGGCAAUUUAGGGGGAAACCUAUCUAUGUCAUUAAUAUACGUCUUCACUGAAAAAGUUCAUUCACCCUUCUUUAAUAAAAACAAAAAAACCUUUUAUUUUUACAAACUUGACAAACAUGAAGAAAUAUGAUCAUUUCCACAUACAAACAUCAGAAAAAGAAUAUUCUAUAAGAAACUACAAAUCUAUUAUAUACAGCUUGUUUCUUUUUAAAGUAUAUAAUAAAUUUAAUACUGUAGUUCCAAAACUAUCCUGUUUCUGUGUUUCUCUGAACUUACUUUUGUUCUCUUCUGUAAAUGUUAAAAAUGUUUCUUUAACACACUUUAUUUCCAUUUCUUCCCCUUUUUUCCCCCCGUGCAUUACUAUUACUAGCCUUCCUUUUCCUUCAUAACUUUCCUGGCAGAGGGGAGUGAAGGGGUAGAGUGGAGGAAAAAUCCUGCCUUUGAGACAAAUAAGUACACAUAAAAGAAACACACACAUUGGCCAUGUUUGAAAAAUGUUAAGUCUCACUUUGUACCGCUAAUCUAUCAUCUCUCUACCAGUAGGUAGGAAAUAUGAUUCUUUAUCAUCUUCUGGAGUUAUUGUAAAUUGUUGUAUUGAUCAGAUUUCUUAUGUCUUCUACACUUGGUUUUCUUUAUUUUAUUAUAUGAAUUGUUCUGUUUUUUUCUCACUUUGAUCUCUGUUACUACUGAAUCCAUUUCUUUCAUUGUUCUUAUGGUGUGAUAAUAUUCCAUUCCAUUCAUUUACAUUCUUUUGUUCAAUCCUUUCACAGUUGAUGGAUACUUCCUGUAGGGGAUAAAAUGCCAGGUGUGAAGUCAGGAAGACCUGGAUUCAAAUGUGAUUAGAUGUUUAGUAGCUGUGUGACUUAAACCUCUUAAACCUCUGACUCAGUUUUCUUUAUAAUAAAAAAGAGAUCAUAACAGCACCUACCUCCUAGGAUUGUUUUGAGAAUGAAAUGAGAUAGUAUUUGUAAAGCACUUAGCAUAGUAACUGGCACAUAGUAGGUGCUUGAUAAAUGCAUAUUUCCUUCCUUUUUUCCUUCCCUCUCUUCCUCUCUUACUCUCUUCUCCUUCUUUCUUUCUUCUUUUCUUCCUCCCUUCCUUCAUUCUCCUCUGUUUCUAGUUCUUUGCUAUAACAAAAAGAAAUGCUAUACAUUUUUUUCCCCCUCACACAUAUAGGUCUUAUUCCUCUCUCUUCCAUCUCUUUGGGACCAAGGCUUAGUAGUAAAAUCAAUGGAUUUGAAGUGUCAGCACUGCUUAGUGAUUUUCUGGGAAUGGCUCCAGACUGUUUUCCAGAUAGGACCUGAACAAUUUAUAGUACCAAUAACAGUACAUUAGUGUGCCUAUCUUCCUAUAAUUGUCAUUUCCCUCUUUGUUAUCUUUGCUGGUAUGAUGGGAGUGAGGUGAAACCUCAGAGCUGUUUUGAUUUGCAUUUCUUUUUUUUUAGUGAUUUGGAACAUUUUUUCAUAUGGUUUUUGAUAGCUUAGAUUUCUUCCCUUGCCUAUUCGGAUCUUGAGAUGACUUAUUUAUUGGGGAAUAGCUCUUGUUCUCAUUUAUUUGAUUUAAUUCCCCUUAUGUCUUGAAUAUCAGACCUUUUUCUGAGAAAAUUGCUGAAAGAUUUGUUCCCCAGUUAACUCAUUCCUUUCUCAUGUCAUUGGUUUUGAUUUUGUUUAAAAACUUUUCAAUUUUAUAUAAUAAAAAUUGACUAUUUUAA